AUGGGGGGCAUGGAGUGCGACGAGGGACCGGCGAUCGGCAUCGACCUCGGGACGACCUACUCCUGCGUGGCCGUGUGGCGGCAGUCGCACAACCGAGUGGAGAUUAUCCCCAACGACCAGGGCAACCUCACCAUGCCCUCCUGCGUUGGCUUCACCGAGGCUUGGAGGCUCAUCGGCGACGCGGCUAUGAACCAGGCCGCCAUGAACCCCGUCAACACCGUCUUUGGUAAGGACCGUACCACAGACAUCUUCCGCUAA
Molecule: ribosomal RNA, 258 nt
Filed under: Triticum aestivum (bread wheat)
Lineage: Eukaryota; Viridiplantae; Streptophyta; Magnoliopsida; Poales; Poaceae
Description: partial small subunit ribosomal RNA
Source: RNAcentral